MicroRNA precursor from Nicotiana attenuata, 107 nucleotides. It matches the Rfam family "MIR6152 microRNA precursor family". NCBI's taxonomy places the organism in Eukaryota, Viridiplantae, Streptophyta, Magnoliopsida, Solanales, Solanaceae. The record is from Rfam.
UGGAUAUAUUAUUGUAUUCGACUGUAUUCGACUGUAUUGACGGCGUAAAAUAGGGAAUUAUACUGUUUUUAAAACGGAAAGUGAAUCAAUUAACAUAAUACACUCCU